CAUUUGGAAUAAAGGCCGUUGCUCUUGUUGUGGUGAUUGUGCUCGUCUCCAGCUCUUUGGCUAAACCUACUCAUGUCAUUGAGAAGCGCUCAAAUGAGGAGACCAACAACAACAACAACAACAACAACGCCCCAUCCUUGGCCCGUGUUACUGAUGUGCUCAUGAUCCUGAAGUACCUCAAGGACUUGACUC
Sander lucioperca (pikeperch) is the source of this 192-nucleotide long non-coding RNA. RefSeq lists it as uncharacterized. The transcript is spliced from 3 exons. The record is from RefSeq and is a predicted model, not a curated record. Lineage: Eukaryota; Metazoa; Chordata; Actinopteri; Perciformes; Percidae.